GUCGUGUGAUCUCAAGCUGUAAAGCAGGAAGGUGGUGUUCAGGGAAACAUUUAACACAUGGCUCUGAUACCAGUAUUACAGCCUUGAACUGCACUUGGAUGCUGAUGAGAAAGUCACUAAUGUAUAGCUAGAAGUUUUGCUCAGCAAAGCUUGCACUGCUAAACAAAUAAGCAGAUGCUGUUCAACAGUGGAUUACAACAGUUUGCAAGUAAGGAGAGCUUCAACCCACUCAUUUACAAGUGAGAAAAGACCACUAACUGGGGUUUUGGAGUGUCGAGGUCCCCAGUGAACCAGGUCUGGUAGAAUCAGCAUAAAGGCCAGUCUCUAAGGACUCUGACAAGGACUCCCAUGGAUGUCGGGGGUAGCCAGAUGAGAGGAUAAGAAACUUUUCUGGUGUUGCUGUUCUGUCUGAACACAUUUGAAAUCCAGUUUCCGACCACUCUAUUUCCCAUGCUUUAGAAGAUUGCUGAGCUCAUCAAUAGAUUGCACAGUACAACAAAGGCUGAAGUUGACAAAAGCCCUGAUUAAGCAGAUUUCCAGAAGAAACUGAAAUAUUUGAACUACCUCAAAAGAAAAAAAAUGUUUUUUAUAGUUUGGCUAGUGUGUCCCAGAGGGAGACAGACUUAUUCUGUUCUGCAAUUUCAGCACCACAGUCACAAGGGACUUGAACCUCUUGAACUGAAUGAUUAGCAAGGAAGGAGUAGAAAGGUCAACUCUACUGGCAUCCUCCUCUUGACCAAAUGCAUGAAACAUGGACUCCCCAUCACCAACACUCUGUUCCUCCAGAAAGACAGGCAGAAGACAUCAUGGCAAGACCAGCAAUCUAAGCAUUGGCACUUGAUUAAUUACAUCUUUGUUUGUGCCCAGAAUAGCAACGAUGUCCUCAUCACACGAGUUAUGCUAGGAGCUGACAAUUGCUGAACCAAUCACUGACGCAUCUUCUUGGUUAUGUCACUCAAACUGGCUUCCAAAAAACUGCUACAGCAUAAACAAUGCCAACAAAAGACCAGGGUUGAUGGACUCAAGGACCCAAUCAAGCAAGACCUCUUUUACCAAUGCCUCAAGGAAAAACUGGCAAAUUCCAAUCAACUACAAUGGGAGAAUAUCGGCAGCACUUGGGGUGCCUUCAAGUCCACCAUCAUCAGCUCCUGUAAAGAGACACUUGGAUUCUCUACCAGAAAACAUCAAGACUGGUUUGAUAAGAAUGACAUCAACUCCAAGCAAAUGAAACUGAAUCACCAACGGGUCAAAGCAGAGGUCCAAAGGAAGUCCUGUAUUCUUCUUUCAACAUGAAGAACAGGUGGUGGAAGACAAAGUGAAGGGAAUUCAGCAUCUCACUGACAUACAUGAAGAGCGCAGAAUCUUUGAUGCUACCAAAGCUGUCUAUGGUCUGCAAAUUCAGGGACCAGCUCUCAAGACCUCAGAAUGGUCAAGGAAAGGGGAGCCAUCAAUGCCCGUUGCAAGGAGCAUUUUGAGGACCUUCUCAAUCAAGACUGUGUUGUUGAUGAGAGCGCUCUCAACUCCAUCCUACAACAUCCAGUCAGAGAUGAUCUUGGAAUCCCUCCAGCUGUUGACCAGAUGAGGAAAGCCAUCAAGAAAAUGAAGAACAACAAGGCAUCUGGACCUGAUAAAAUCCCCACUGAAAUCUUCAAACAGGGGGAGAGGAGCUCACAUCACAGCUGCAUGCCCUCAUCUUAAGGAUCUGGGAUGAUGAAGAAGUCCCAGAAGACCUUAAGGACACCAUUCUUGUGGCAAUCUUUAAGAAGAGGGAUAGGUGUGGCUGUGGAAAUUACAGAGGGAUCACUUUGCUGUCCACCACAGGAAAAUCAUUGCAGGAACCCUCCUGAGCCCUCCUUUUGCUUGCUGAAGAGCUCCUCCCAGAAUCACAGUGUGGGUUUAGACGUCAAGAGGCACAACUGACAUGAUCCUCACUGCAGCUGCAGGAAAAUGCCAGGAACAACAUAAACCUCUCUAUGCCACUUACAGUAAACCACAUUACACAGGACUUCCUAUAUGUUCCUCUAAUAUUUCCAUAGAACUUUACUGUUCUAAUAAUCCCACUAAAUUUUUUAGGAUUUUCAUAUAGUAAAAUGGGAAAAUUUUGUUGCUGAAAUAUCUAUUCCACCCCUGUGUUUGCCUCUUUUUUAGACCUGAGGGAGGGCACUUGGGCUAGGUACAGGCAUUCAAAAAGCCCAAGGAGGAAUUGAUCUAAGUCACGCAGUUUUCUGUAAGUGGUGUAGGUUAGAUUGGUGGUGAACAGAAAACACAUUCAUCCUUUGGUGGGGGAGGAAAUCUUAGACCGGAUUCUGCCAUUUUUAAACCAGUCUAUGUGUUCUGAACUUCUGUCAUGGGUACAGGCUAGUUUCUGAUCACUUAUAGUCGUAAAAGUACAAUGUCUGUACCUGGCCUUCAUGUCCAAAAGCUUGUCCAGCAGUUCUCCCAAUGAUACUCUUCAUCAGCGAAAGGUAUCGCAAAAAAUCCUUGCCUUUUACAUAUUAUUUUUGUAUUGUUGUAUACCCGACUAGAGGCAGAAAGUACUACAAAUUUAAUGGGAAAAUUCUAUUCUUGUGAAAUAUUAAUCUUUUAUCUCUUGCUAAAGGAGAUUUAGAUGAUCUCUACUAUUUUUAUAUGUAAAGAGCGAAAUGUGCUGUCAUUCUAAAAUUACAUUUUAGAUUAAGUAGAAUAAAGCGAUAAAAAACAGUUGUGAGGUACCAUUUAUAAAUCGUUUAUAAAGGAUUAAUCAUGGUUGAUACAUGUAGCACAGCAAGUUACACACCUGAAUAGUAUAUUAUACAAAUGGUAUUAGCUCAUCAGUAGAAAGUAGCAUUUAUGGUUUCAAGCUAUUUGUUGAAUUGUUAGACUGUAUAACCAUUGACUGACUGUUUAUUAAAACCUCUAUUUAUUCUUUUAA
Molecule: long non-coding RNA, 2911 nt
Organism: Alligator mississippiensis (American alligator)
Lineage: Eukaryota; Metazoa; Chordata; Crocodylia; Alligatoridae
Exons: 4
Source: RefSeq, a predicted model, not a curated record